GACGAACGCUGGCGGCGUGCUUAACACAUGCAAGUCGAACGGAAAGGCCUUUUCGGAGGUACUCGAGUGGCGAACGGGUGAGUAACACGUGGGUGAUCUGCCCUGCACUCUGGGAUAGGCCUGGGAAACUGGGUCUAAUACCGGAUAGGACCGCACUUUAGUGUGUGUGGUGGAAAGUUUUUUCGGUGUAGGAUGAGCCCGCGGCCUAUCAGCUUGUUGGUGGGGUAAUGGCCUACCAAGGCGGCGACGGGUAGCCGGACUGAGAGGUUGGUCGGCCACAUUGGGACUGAGAUACGGCCCAGACUCCUACGGGAGGCAGCAGUGGGGAAUAUUGCACAAUGGGCGCAAGCCUGAUGCAGCGACGCCGCGUGGGGGAUGACGGCCUUCGGGUUGUAAACUCCUUUCGCCAGGGACGAAGCGUUUUGUGACGGUACCUGGAGAAGAAGCACCGGCUAACUACGUG
This 463-nucleotide ribosomal RNA is filed under the name uncultured bacterium. RNAcentral describes it as "partial 16S ribosomal RNA". It matches the Rfam family "Bacterial small subunit ribosomal RNA", at positions 28 to 507 of the family's 1533-position model. The record is from RNAcentral.